GUAAUAGUUAACGGCCCUGUCAUGUCGUGUUCUAUUUCCAAUGGGUCAACCAUAUUGGUCUCACCAAUUAUCCUGACUUUUGAACAUGGACAGGCAAACUUCAUCAAGGCUACAUGCAACUACUGGAAGUUUAGUAGUCCAGGGUACUGGGCUAGUGACGGUUGCAGGUUUCGAGCUUCAAAUGAUACAAUAACUGUCUGUGAAUGUGACCAUCUCACCAACUUCGCUGUCCUCAUGAGUCCUUUUGU
Molecule: long non-coding RNA, 248 nt
Organism: Dreissena polymorpha
Lineage: Eukaryota; Metazoa; Mollusca; Bivalvia; Myida; Dreissenidae
Exons: 3
Source: RefSeq, a predicted model, not a curated record